RNAcentral lists this transfer RNA (77 nucleotides) under Faucicola atlantae. RNAcentral describes it as "Moraxella atlantae tRNA-Arg". It matches the Rfam family "tRNA". Rfam says of the family: Transfer RNA (tRNA) molecules are approximately 80 nucleotides in length. Their secondary structure includes four short double-helical elements and three loops (D, anti-codon, and T loops). Lineage: Bacteria; Pseudomonadati; Pseudomonadota; Gammaproteobacteria; Moraxellales; Moraxellaceae. The record is from RNAcentral.
GCGCCUGUAGCUCAGUUGGAUAGAGCAUCUGCCUUCUAAGCAGGUGGUCACAGGUUCGAAUCCUGUCAGGUGCGCCA